GAUGAACGCUGGCGGCGUGCCUAAUACAUGCAAGUCGAGCGAACAGACGAGGAGCUUGCUCCUCUGACGUUAGCGGCGGACGGGUGAGUAACACGUGGAUAACCUACCUAUAAGACUGGGAUAACUUCGGGAAACCGGAGCUAAUACCGGAUAAUAUAUUGAACCGCAUGGUUCAAUAGUGAAAGACGGUUUUGCUGUCACUUAUAGAUGGAUCCGCGCCGCAUUAGCUAGUUGGUAAGGUAACGGCUUACCAAGGCAACGAUGCGUAGCCGACCUGAGAGGGUGAUCGGGCACACUGGAACUGAGAAACGGUCCAGACUCCUACGGGAGGCAGCAGUAGGGAAUCUUCCGCAAUGGGCGAAAGCCUGACGGAGAAACGCCGCGUGAGUGAUGAAGGUCUUCGGAUCGUAAAACUCUGUUAUUAGGGAAGAACAAAUGUGUAAGUAACUAUGCACGUCUUGACGGUACCUAAUCAGAAAGCCACGGCUAACUACGU
Molecule: ribosomal RNA, 496 nt
Filed under: uncultured bacterium
Lineage: Bacteria
Description: partial 16S ribosomal RNA
Rfam family: Bacterial small subunit ribosomal RNA
Source: RNAcentral